GCAGGUGGAGCUCAGUGGUAGAGCGUGUGCUUGACAUGCACUAGGUCCUGAGUUUAAUCCCCAGUACCUCUA
RNAcentral lists this transfer RNA (72 nucleotides) under Camelus bactrianus (Bactrian camel). It matches the Rfam family "tRNA". From Rfam's summary of the family: Transfer RNA (tRNA) molecules are approximately 80 nucleotides in length. Their secondary structure includes four short double-helical elements and three loops (D, anti-codon, and T loops). Lineage: Eukaryota; Metazoa; Chordata; Mammalia; Artiodactyla; Camelidae. RNAcentral also lists the same sequence under 2 other names. The record is from Rfam by way of RNAcentral.